Molecule: long non-coding RNA, 668 nt
Filed under: Physcomitrium patens
Lineage: Eukaryota; Viridiplantae; Streptophyta; Bryopsida; Funariales; Funariaceae
Description: long non-coding RNA (PPAT_LNC013162)
Source: RNAcentral
AUAGGUAUCAAUUGAGUAUUUGUAAAGACACUGCACAGUUAGGAGUGGAGCUAUGUAGAAUAAGUAGUUAUUUUCAGAAUGUAGAUACCUAGUGUAUAGUGUAAAUAGGGAUAGAUAACUGUUGAAAAGGUGGUUCAGCAGGUAGAAUGGAUGAAUAGUCAAAAAAAGUAAUUAUCAUCUAUAGUAUAGGAGUUGGUAUCUCGGGGUAGUAUAAGGAGGAUGGGAGAGGGGAAGAAAAUGCCAGACUGUGAGAGUUGUGAGCCGAGGGCAGACUGUGAUAGUACUGAGCCAGGGAUAAGCUUAGUGCUAUUUCUUCUUCUUAGUUUUCUUGUUUCUUUUGUAUUAGUGUUGAUUCUAAUGAAGAGAAUCGAUUUAAUGAAUUAAUGUUUGAUUUACAAAAUUAUUUAUGGAUCACUAUUUAUCAAUUGUUGUGAAAGAUUGAGGACGUAUGGAAGUUUCCACUCACUGUUUAUCGCAAGGUUGUAAGUUUAGUGGAGAGAAAUUAUAAUUGAAGGAAUUGUCUUGAUUUGAUUCUGUGGAUUGGAAGUUGUUUGUUCCAGGGUUUGGAAUAUGCUUGUGUGUUCGUGAAUUACACAGGGUACUGAAAUCGUUGUCAUGGAUGUUAUUGUAUUGAUAUAAGAGAGUGGAGAGUAGGAAGAAAAGUUAAG